AACAAUGUCUUCGUAUUUUUUUUUAAAUAAAAUUUUUCGUCGCUGCUGUUUUUUUCGCUCGGGAACCGAGAAAAAAAGAAUUACAAAUACACCCAUGAUAAAGAACCAAGGUACAUAGAGUCAAUUAUUUUCAUGGCAUUUACCUAAACCAGUCUAAGUUUUCGCGCAGGCGCAAAAAUUUCCCAGCAAAGUUCCAAAUGACGUUGGAAAAUUCAAUGUCGCAUAUUUGUUUCCUCACAUCGUUUCAAAAUUUUCAACAGCAAAGACGUUUAUUCCCUUGUCCCGAUUGUGAUUAGACUAAUUUUUUUUUGAAUUGUUUUUGUUUAUUGGCUGUUUGACUAAUAUUUUUUAAUUCAGAGAAGAAAUAAAUUUUGGUGUUCAAUUUUAAAAUGUUCAAAAGACGUUUGUUGUUGACUCGAAUCGUUGGAUGCUGCGAGCAAUGAUUUUGUGCGACGUGGUGUGAACUCAUAAAAGAAAAUCAUUGGAUGACGUUCAUUUAUGUUACAACAUUGGAAUAUAAAAGAAAGGAAGGAAAAAAAACAUUCUUAUGUGUCACAACAUAAUUCCUCUACACCAUAUUGAAUGGAGAAGCCUGCGCACUAUGGAAAAACUUGAACUUGAAACGUAAUCGGUGAGUCAAUCGAUACUAUCCAUUAUGCAUAUAUAUAAAAAAAAAGUUAUAUCCAUAUGCCAUACUAUUUUUUAUAUAUACUCUGCUUGCGCUAUGAAGUAAGUUUCCAUAUUAUUUUUUUGUUUUUUAAUUCUUUGCUGGUAUUCAUAAUAUUAAAGAAAACAAAUGCAAAGUAAAUAAGUGAGUCAGUUGUUAGUUGAUUUUAUAAAACAGUUCGAGUAAUGGUCUCGAGGUGUUUUUGUUAUACGUGUAGAAAAUGGUUUCUAAUUAAAACGAAAAAGAAAGAAAAA
Molecule: long non-coding RNA, 921 nt
Organism: Bradysia coprophila
Lineage: Eukaryota; Metazoa; Arthropoda; Insecta; Diptera; Sciaridae
Source: RefSeq, a predicted model, not a curated record